AGUGAACGCUGGCGGUAGGCCUAACACACGCAAGUCGAACGGCAGCACAGUAAGAGCUUGCUCUUACGGGUGGCGAGUGACGGACGGGUGAGGAAUACAUCGGAAUCUACUUUUUCGUGGGGGAUAACGUAGGGAAACUUACGCUAAUACCGCAUACGACCUACGGGUGAAAGCAGGGGAUCUUCGGACCUUGCGCGAUUGAAUGAGCCGAUGUCGGAUUAGCUAGUUGGCGGGGUAAAGGCCCACCAAGGCGACGAUCCGUAGCUGGUCUGAGAGGAUGAUCAGCCACACUGGAACUGAGACACGGUCCAGACUCCUACGGGAGGCAGCAGUGGGGAAUAUUGGACAAUGGGCGCAAGCCUGAUCCAGCCAUACCGCGUGGGUGAAGAAGGCCUUCGGGUUGUAAAGCCCUUUUGUUGGGAAAGAAAAGCAGCAGGUUAAUACCCCGCUGUUCUGACGGUACCCAAAGAAUAAGCACCGGCUAACUUCGUG
This 492-nucleotide ribosomal RNA is filed under the name uncultured bacterium. RNAcentral's name for it is "partial 16S ribosomal RNA". It matches the Rfam family "Bacterial small subunit ribosomal RNA", at positions 29 to 507 of the family's 1533-position model. The record is from RNAcentral.